GCCUAAAGUGUCAAAGGCUUUGCUUUCAGAUUUACCCCAAGUCUAGAACUAAACAGAAGAGUUUAACUAAUGGCAAAACAGGCUUCAGAGCAGAGCUUUUCACCCCCCUGCUGGGACAAGAACUGCAAUGGAAAUAUCACAGUUACAUUUUAAUAUCUUUAGAAAGUCUUUUCUAGCUACAGGCAGCCUCCAAGUCUCCUUGCCUACCUUACUCCAACUGCUGGGCAAGUUGUUUCCAACCCGGAAGCCCAAAUGCCUGGUGAUGAUGAGUCCAAUCUUGGCCACUUUGUUAUGUUUUUCCACGGGCUGUGAGUGGAUCCCUGUGAAAUCCCCUAUGGAUUUCAUGCAUUCUAAGGGUUUGUUUCACCAUGGGCCUCCCCAGGGCUCGCAGAGGAAUCUUGGAGCACCUCCUGCCCUCUCCUUCCCACCGGCCUUGGUGCUGCCAUGUUGUUUUCCCUCACACGCCCUCACUCCCUCCUCUCCUGAUCAGAAGAGAAACUGCUGCUCGUGGGUGCCAUUGCCAACAAAUCCCACUAAUUCAAAGACUCUUGCAGGAUCUGGCAGCACUGAGAAGUUGAUCUCACUUAGGUUCCACACAGGGGAAUCAUGCUUCCACAUCAUGCUUCUGCUGCAGGCCGGGCGGCCCUGCCACCAUCGCAUGAGCGGCGGUGGCCGUGGUGGUGCUGGAAUUAUUUAAUGCCUCUUGUCCUUGCAGUGUGCUGGGAAGGAGAAGCUGGAAUUAUUGAAUGCCUCUUUUCCAUGCAGUGUGCUGGGAAGGGGAAGCUGCCACUGCUGCCCUGCAGUGUGGCUGGCCGAGGGUGGCCACACAGGCACGGCUCGUGCAGGCCGCGCCGGGAUGGUGGCAGCCGUGGCACAUUGGCACGGGGCACGGUGGAAGGCAGCGGCGGAAAAGAACUGCACACACGUUGUUUUGAUUUUCUUCUGAAAUGUGUCAUCACAGAGGCUUUACCAGCCUCUCUAACUGGGCCAGCAGCGUGUCCAUCCUCAGAGCCAUCAGCUCUGUCAGACGUGGCGGAAGCUUCCGGCAGCUUCUCACACAAGCUACCCCUGUGGCCCCACAAACCAGGCUGUGCCAAACCAACACAAAACCUGGGAGUUUUGCAUCACAGCAGAAUUGUGAAUCAUAGAAGGACAUGUGCUUUGUCAAGUCUCGUUUUAUACCUUGCACCCAUGGAUUUGAAAGAUUCCUGAUGGAGAGGCCCCUGGAGAGGAACAACAGAUAUGAAGGUGGACACUGAGAGUUCUAAGCUUGAAAAAUGAAGAUCCUGGAGCUCAAGGUUUAGGAAUACAAGUGUGAACCACACUGGAACCUGCCAGCUUCAGUGGUUAAUUCACGUGUCCAUCUCCAGGGUCACCACAUUUUGUCACAUGGCACCAUAUAACAUCUCCCUUGAGGCCUUGCCAGUCCACUGACAUUUUAAUAAAUGUUCAAAACUUCACUUGCCCUUCA
Molecule: long non-coding RNA, 1471 nt
Filed under: Cyanistes caeruleus (blue tit)
Lineage: Eukaryota; Metazoa; Chordata; Aves; Passeriformes; Paridae
Description: lncRNA (ENSCCEG00000019601.1)
Source: RNAcentral